Molecule: non-coding RNA, 10838 nt
Organism: Equus caballus (horse)
Lineage: Eukaryota; Metazoa; Chordata; Mammalia; Perissodactyla; Equidae
Source: RefSeq, a predicted model, not a curated record
CUAGUUAACCUGAGUUCAGCAAAUUCUAUUCUAUUCUAUGAUUUAAUGUAGAACCGGGUGAAUUUGGGUGAAGUCAGUAUGUGUUCAUUGAAUGGCCUCCCUGGGCCCAGCUGUAUUAGGCAUCAGGAGGCUGUGAAAUCAACACAGUGGUCUUCCUCUUAACGACCCCACUGGAUGAAUAUCCUCGCUGUCCUCCAGCCCCUCCACUGCCCCAUCUCAUCUGGGUCUCGAGCUCCGACCCUCACCCUCUGUUGCACCUUCACCCCCACUUCCACUUCCCCCUAGACUUGUCUCUCUGAGUGUCCUUGAGCUUCUUGAAGUCAGCUUGACCUAAACGGAGUUCAGCCCUUGGCCCAUGUGUGCAUCCUCUCCAUGAAGUCCCUCUGGGUGAGGGAGCCCCCACCAGCGGACUCCUCCACCCCCAGGCAGGACUCCUCCCCACCCUGCCUUGCCGAUGUGCCAACCCCCUGGAUGCACUGCCUCGGGAACCCUGUCACCUUCUCCCUCCUGUCUUCAGCCUUGGGCUGCACACUGACCUCCCCCUCUUCACAAACCACCAAAUGGCUGCUACACUUACAAAUGGGGACGCAGAGGUGACACAGGCAGGUGUGAUUGGAAAUGGUGAGCAGCAUCGCAGAGCAGAGCGCAGACCAGGGCUCCCGAGAGGGCAGAGAAUGGCUAUUGUGGCAUCAGGACGGCCAUAAAGGGGGCGAGGUGGGCACCCACGGCAGCCCCUCUCCAUGUUCCCCAGGAGCCCUGCGUCUCAGCCUCGGCUUGGGCUGGCUGCCCCUCCUUCUGUCUGUUAGGUGGGUGCCUGUUCAUUCGUUCACUCACUCAUUCGCUCAUCAUGGACUUGGUUCCUGCCUGGUGCCAGGCCCUGGCUAGAUGAUGGCUGGUCCUUGGAGACCCAGCUCAGACCUCGUCUCCUCCAUGAAGCCGUUCUUGAUCCCCACCCCCUCCUGCAGCCCCUGUGGCCUCACCUGGGCCCCCAGUGCUGUGAUCACACUCUGAUGAGCUCUCCAAGCUGUGAGCCUUCGGGGGGCUCUGGGCCAGAUGCAGAAAUGGGUUCAGACAUGGGAUGAUGGCUAAAACCCUGAAUACACGAGAGGAUUACCUACGGGCCUGAUGGGGGUCAAGUUCACCUUCUCUCUCCCUCCUGGACCAGGGCUCUUCAUUCCCAGGAACUGAGCGACCUCACCCUGUGCUCAUUUUGACCCUUAUCCAUCGAUUUUCUUUCAAUGUUAAUUCUUUUUAAACUCUGAAGUCAGGUCAUGAGUGUGUUCCUCAGUAAUGAGAAACUUAAUUAUCACUUCAAGGGAGGGAAUGCAUCUGUGGUGCCUGAACCAAGACAGAACAAUGUGGAAAGCACAGGAUGCUGAGGAGGAGCCGGCUCAGGGGCUGGGCCUCGGGGCAGCAGAAAGAGGGGAGACAGAGACUUAGAUGGAGACAGAGCUGCCAGGGUGGGGUUCAAGCCGGGAGGAGUGGGAGUCCAGGGGCCUCCACACAUGAGGGUGGCGGCUUCCGGAGUCCCCCUCUGUCACGUACAAGCCGUGUUUCUCAUCCUGCAGCACCUCCAGGCCUUAGGACGAGCUGGUCUUCCCGCAGGAGCGCCUUUGCUCUGCUCUCCAGACAACAGUGCCCUCACGCUGGGAGACUCUGCCCUCUGGGCAUCUGUUCCUCAGCCUGCCUGUCCUGUACCCCCACCCCCACCAUGACACACGCAGCCCGCUCUGUGCUUAGGUCACCUGGUUGUCAUCGUCUGAGGCUGGCCUAUCUGCUUGUGUGAGAGAUCGGCAGACCUGGCUUCUAAGCCUUUCAAGUCUGCGUGACCUUGGACCAGUCCCUUGUCCCUUUGGAGGCUCAGUUGGAGGCUCAGUUUCUCACUAUAAGUGGGUCUGGCAGUGGCCUCCUUACUGUGGCGCUGUGCUCUCUGAGCUGCUGGAGAUGGCGCAUUGGAUGGGUGCCUUUGGCUGGUGCCCUUGGUGCUGACCCCAGGGUCAUGGGCCCAGCGUGCCCAGGGUUUGUGGAACACCCGGCUGUAGUGAUGCAUGAGGUAGUGGGAGAUGGGCAGGAGGUCAGGGUGCAACUUUGGAGUCAGAAGACACAGCAUUCCUUGGGGACACUUCACUGAGCCCCUGGUCCCGGGCCUCGCCCACCCACACCCCUUCUCAGCUGCCUUCGGGGAACUCAGUGGACCCCUGCUCUAAGGCUGCAUUCCCCGUGCAUCUAACCCAGGCCCGACACUGCUGUGGUCACAUCCCGGGUGAAGAAGUGAAGCUCCAUGGGGCUAACGGGAGGACGACAAAUUCAGAUGCCUCCAGGGGUCAGGCUGGCACAGGCUGUGGAGGACCUGGGCAGGGGGAAGCUUAGGGAGUAGCAAGCUGGGAGCACAAGCGCUGUCCAGAGAGUGGCUGCAGCUCAGCUCCAGAAGAGCGUUGCCUUGAGGGACUGUCACACGUGGCCGCAUCUCAUUUCAUACAUAAAAUAAGCUAGACAGCUGGAAUUUUGUCGGUAAUCUUCCAGUUUUUAAAUGUUAGUGUUAACGUUUAAAAUCUAGAUUUGCCGCUAUUCCCUGUGUUGAUUUAAAAUGCUUGGCUGUGUGUGGGCUCAGGAGCAGCUGGCACACUGGAUGCUCUUGUGACUCUAUUCCCCCUCCUAGCUCCCUCACCUAGUGCUUCCUUUUGCAUGUUCAGGGGACAGCUUCAUCCCCCAAGGCAGAGUAUGUUCGCCUGUUGGCUCCUGGGUGGCUGGCUGCCAUAUGGGGGCGCUGGGCUCUUGGGGGAGUCACCCGUUCCUGCAGCGGCCCCAUGGCAGGUGGUGCUAUCCAAGCCCACUCACACAUACCUGGCGCGUCCAUCCACCCUCUGUUAGACUCGCUCUGCUCUAUCCUGCCUCUCCCUUUAUGUUGUGGCAUCCCUUACUUGCUCAUCCCCACCUAGGAAUCCAGAUCCCCCAUCUGUUGUCAGGACUUCUGUUUUCCUCUUCAUCUCACCUCUUGAUCAGAGGGAAAGUAUUUUGACUCCGAGAGGAAGAAAGUCUGAAACUAGAGUUUCCUCUUUGGGCUGAAGAUCACUCGUCAGCCUAGGCCCACAGUGCAUCUGGCUUUGAGGUCAGCAUUGCAGCUUAUUCCUCCUUUUAGACUUUUAGUGGCUCAAAUAAGGCUGAGGUUUAAGCCUGGUCAGCCCUGCUGAAGGCCUUAAGGACUGUGUGUCCAUUAAAAACAUGUUUGGUUAUAUUUGUUUAAAUGUUACGCUGUUGGAAAUACAGGGACUCGUAGUUUGAUUUUAGACUUAAACAAAAUUGUAACUUUGUAAUAUUUCAAUUUUAUUGUAGAUCAAAUCAACUUUUAGGAGCCGACUUAAACACCUAACCAUGCUCUACUAACUGCCACUGUGGGGAAAUGCGUUUUAUGUGCAGCGUGUUUGACUUGCAAGUGGAAUUUUGAAGUACAGCCACUAGAAUGCUGGAAUUAGCCUCUUCUACACUAUUUGAGGCUUAAUUUCGAGUUGCCUUGAAUUCAUUCUGUACUUAGUAAAUGAAAUUUGAUGUGUCUCUCCCAGGCUAUUUGUGUCCUCUCUCACGGUAAGGCCGAUGACAUGCUCAUAGAAGGUAGUUAAUAAGUGCCUGCUGGAUGAACAAAGACUAGGGCCCACAGUCCUUAGUAUUUAGGGGUUUUUUAAUGUCCCUGUUUUGUUCUGGGUUGCAGAUAGUUUGAUAUGUGUCUUAAUUUGCCCUGUGGCUAUUGUUCUUGAUGUUUAGUUUGUUUUCUAGAAUUGUGAGUUCCUACAUGGUAGCCACUAGCCACAUGUGGCUAUUGAGCACUUGAAAUGUGACUAGUGUGACUCAGGAACAGAAUUUUAAUUUUAAUUAAGACAUUUAAAUUUAAAAAUUCAUGAUUGAUUUAGCUAUUGGAAAAUGUUUAAGUAUGUUUGGAGUGUCUUGAGAGGUGAAUCUACUGAUUUUAAGUUCUGUGUGUGGCUCCUGUAUUUCUUGUGGACUGUGCUAUUCUGGAUGUUCCCCCUUGAUGUCGAAGACCCGAUACUAAGUCUAGGGCGUGAGGAAGGGAACUGAGGGGUAAGAGGGCUGGGACGCCAUUGACGCUGACAGUGUAGGACGUGAGCCCGCUUGGGGAGUCGGAGCUCACGAUAGGGAAGGCAGGAACAUACUGAAGUAUAUGGCACUGAAGUUCAGCCUGGCAUUUGGGAAGAAAGGGCAGGGCUGACAGGGCAAGAGGAAAGGUUGUAGGAUAGAGCAGCAUAGAAAGGAUAAAAGAGAAGUAAAUGCUUUUGUAGUAGAAAUUAGUGGAAGCAUUCCCUUGCUCUUUGUGAGGGAUGACAGGCCGUAAUGGGCUAUCUUACUCUCUUGAUGAAGCUCGGACAACAUGGAAGAGUCUCCCGGAGACACUGGAACACCUUCUGUUCAGAGACACUGAAUGCAAUGAGGCAGGCAUUAAUAGGCAACCGAGGACAGCUGUUCUUUGUUAUGGAAGCAUUGCCUCUAUGUCACAUGGAGGAGGAGCCCUUUAGGAACAUGAGCUGGACUUUUCAUUCAUUCAGCAAACGUUUAUUGAGUACCUACUGUGUGCCAGGCACCGUACCAGGCGGUAUCGAAACAAAAGUGAAUGAAGUUGUACGUGAAUAUUCAUAGCAGCAGUAUUCACAGUCUCCAAAAAGAGGAAACAAACCAACUGUCUAUCAGCUGAGCAAUGGAUGAACAAAAUAUGGUUUGUCCAUACAGUAGGGUAUUAUUUAGUUAUAAAAGAGAAUUAAGUGUUGACUCAUGCUACAAUAUGGAUGAACCUUGAAAACAUGCUAAGUGAAAGAAGCCAGGCACAGGAGGCAACAUGUUGUAUGAUUCCAUUAUGUGAAAGGUCCAAAAUGGCCAAAUGCAUAGAGACAGAGAGUAGAUUAGUGGUUGCCAAGGGAUGCCUAGAGGGGGCAAUGGGACAGACUGCUAGUAGGGAUGGAGUUUCUUUUUGGGGAGAUGGAACUAUUCUGGAAUUCGGUAGUGGUGGGAUUUGCACAAAAUAGUGAAUACACUAAAAACCACUGAAGUAUACACUUUAAAAUGGUGAAUUUUAUGUUAUAUGAAUUUUACCUUAAUUUAAAAAUAUGAAAAAAAAAGCGAAUGAAGCAAAUUCUCUCCCCUCCAGGAGCUCAUCAGACAGAUUACACAUAACACAUAGUUACUGGGCACCGUGGGAGUACACUGCUGGUCUGUACAUGGAAGCACACACCUCGGGGGGCCUAGCCUAGUUUGGGCUGGUCAGAAAGUGUUCCCAGAGUCUCUGUCUUUAAGGAGGAGUAGAUGGGACUUGGGAAUUGAGUCACUCAGAUUUAGUUGUUUGCUGCUUUAUUUGGAAAAUCCAUAAAAUUCCUGGGCCUUAGAUAAGGGCUAUCUGCCUGAACGUGAGUCUUCUGCCCUGAGGGUCUCUGGAACCUGAGGACCGGGAAAACAAAGGAAUACCCCAGAUGCAAGGACACUUCUGGACUUCUGGGAGCGGGAAACUGGUGAGAACCGCUCUUGGUCAGGGUUCUUGGUUGAGAAGACACAACCCUCCUGCUGGAUUGCAGGGAUCCAUGGGGAGGCUUAAGAGAUGGAAUCUGGGCUGAGCCAGUGUCAUUUCCCAAGCGUCACAUUAGAACUGAGCCUCCAAAGAUGCUUCUCCUGCCUCCUUGAUCAGGAAGCCAACUAGCGGCCUAUGGAAUUGGGAAGCUGGUGCUACAGCUGCUGACAAGGGAACCACACUGCUUCUACCAAAGUCAGGAAGCCACUGUGACAAUUGCGACCCCAGAACCAGGUUUCUGCUACUGUGAUCUGCACCAGCACAAUUAAUCUGAUAUGCCCUCCCUCUCUCCUCAUCAAACUGUUGCACGUUCAAAACUCCAGCAAAUGCAUCUGAGUGGAGGAACCUAAACGGCGUGGAGAAACCUAGGUGCAAGAGAGUAUGGAAAACAGUUUUUUGUUUUCAGCCUCUGUGGUAGAGGAAGACGCAGUAGAUACUGAUUCAGCCAGUUCACAGAGGCUGCCAUAAGGUCCUUUCCAGAAUUUAUCUCAAUACUCAUGAUUUAACCUCAGUCUGCUGCACUUUGGGCCUGUAGAUUAAUUCCUAAUGGAUGGGCACAUUGUGCCCAGUGGUGACUUUUUGGUCUCUCCAGUUAUAGGACAACUUAUUGCAAGGUCAGGUGAUACUCUUGGCUUCUUGAUUUCUGCAUUUCCUUUCACUUAUGUUUUGUUUAUUCGUUCAGCAUGCGUUGGAAAUAAAGGAUGUAAAAGUAGCAUCGAUGUCCUCCAGGAGAAGAUGCAGACAGGCAGUUGGACAUGAUUGCCAUCUGGGAAGUGGGGGCACCUGUACAGACACAGGGGUGGAUUGCCCACAGCAGGGUGUCUGUGCAUGGGGGAUGCUUUGGAAAGGAGGUAGCUUUAGAGCUGAGAUGUGAGGAGUGGUUAGGAAAGUGGAAAGAGGGAAGAGAACGGCACAGCGUGGGCAGAGCUCUCUGUUCAGGCAGUAGAUGGAGAGGAGCAUGUGGAUGGAGAUGAGCGGCUGGGAGUGAGGCUAUGGUCUGAGCCAUAGAGGAGGAGCCCUAUGCAGAGUGCUAAGGAGGCCCUUUUUCUCCUGAGGGAAGAGGCCUGCCAUCAAUAAAUGCAGAUCUGACCGAUGGGAAGUUGGGUGAGGAAUGGUGAGGAAAAGUGGGAGUGGGGUGAGGCUGGAGGCCCGAGACCAGGCAAGAGGCCAGCACACUAACCGUGCAGGUGAGGGAUGGUGUGAGCGUGGGCAGAGCAGAAGCCUUCAGUUGGUUUUCUUCAACGGUUCAUGUAACCUUAUUUCCUUAUAAACUACUUAAAGGUAAGUGAGGUUGGGUGUUUUGCAUUGUGCUUUUUGUUUUGAGUUGAAUGGUCUUUUAUUGUUAUACUUGCUUUUCAAAAAUAAAAAAGCAUAGAUAUUAAACAGAACCUAAAAAUAAACUAAUUCAAGCUAAAGUGCAUUGGUGAGUUUCUUUGAAUUUAAGGUUGUGUGAUGUGAACACACCACAUUAUUGACAUUGUGCUUGGGUUAUGUUUGAGAAUAAAAAAUGGCCUGCACUUGAGGUGUGAAAGUAGCCAUUAGAGAGCAUGUUUAGCUUGAGCAAACACACCCAUGUUUGUUUAUACAGAUAUUUAUAAGGCUUUCAGCUUAAACUGUGGAUCCGAAAUGCAGUUCCUGAUUCAAGGAAUAAUGAUUGCCCUGAAAAAGAAAGUUGCACUCUGCAUUAUCUGAGAGUUCCCAUUUAUGUUAUUUAUAUGGCAAAUAUGAUGACUGGCCUUUUAUUCAAAAACAGUGAAAUAUGUCUGCAGUUUAGGCACUUAAAACAUUUUCUCCAGUCCCUAAAUAGCCUAAGCCUAAAUCCUCUUUGGUGCUUUUCUUAUAAAAAUGGAACCAAAAUGCAUUUGACCAAAUUUAUGUGAUUUUUGAAUAGUAAUCGAACUCCCCUUUUUUGUGGCCUGCAGGAGAUAUGGAUUUAGCCGCCAGAGCCAAACAGAGAAGGUAAGAAAAGCCUGGAUAAUGGAAGAGAAUAUUUGAGAGACGGAAGUGCCCCCUCCUUUGCCUCUGUCUGCAGUGACAGGCUGCCUAGCAGCGGUGGGAUGGCCGGGUUGCUGCCGGCCAGGCUCUCGUCCUUGGCCAACGCGAGGCAGCAGGGAUGUGCCAGCUGCCUGUGGCCACUGCAUCCCCCUCCUGCAUCACCAGCCUGCUGCCUCCAAAGGCCAGGGAGCUGAAGCAGCAGCCUCAUCGUGGGGCUGGAAGUGAAGGGUGAUUGAAAGUCAUGGCCCGGGGUCAGACACUGGGUUCUCAUAACUCCAGACGUGUGAAGAUGAAGUGCACUCACAGGGCCCUGAACCCUCCUCAUCUGAUGAGACAGACCCUAGGCAGGUGUGGACAGGAUGCUGGCAGUGAGAGAGAACACAAGCAUAAAUUACAGGCCUGCCCUGUGCUAGGGUACCCUUAGCACAGGUGUGGAAAAUCAGAUCAGAAAGCUGAGAUUCAGGCUCCAUGAUUUGUCCAAGAUCACACAGCUCCUCAAGUGCCAUAACAAGAAUCUGAACCUGGAUCUGUGUGACAUCAAAGCCUGUGCUCUUAUCCACUGCCUUUUGAAUAAUGCAGUGUUAACUAAAGUGGUCACUGGCCUCUUAAGAAGUAGAGUCCUGCAGCUUCAGAUCUAUUAAUAACCUCUUUUCUCAUUCCCUACCCGACUCCCAGAUUUUCUUGAAUGAGAUGCCACUCUUCCUGCUGUUCUCCUGCCACCCCUCCCUCUGUCCCGAUCCCCUGUCCGUCAGUCCUCCUUCCAGGAAGCCUUCCCUGACCCCUAGCCUCCCUCUGCUUGCUGUAGUAAUUGUUGUCUCAGAGUCAUCGGAGGGCACCGACAGUGACUAGGAGCAUGUGUUCUCAAGCCAGACUGGCUGGUUUCGGAUCCUAGCUCCUCCCCUUUGUUGUGUGACUUUGGACGAUAUACUUAAUCAUUGUGCCUUAGGUCUCAGCCUCUCUAAAAUGGGGGCAGGAAUUGUACUACUUCACAGCAUUGUUGUGAGGAUUAAAAUGUAAAGGACAUAGAAUGAUCUAACACAUGGUAAACAUCUAGAAAGCAUUGACUAUUAUCAGUAAUCAGUCAUGCACUGAUUAUAUCAUCUUCUUUUUUGGUUUUCUUGUUACUUAUUUUUUUCGAUAUUUGUGUUUUCACUCAACUAAAUAGUUGUUUCCUCCAAAGCAAGGUGUUUUCUCGAUUUGCACAUGUCAUGUGGCAUCCGGUAUAUACUAAGAAUAUGAUGUGUACAUUUAAUUUUGAUUUGUAAUUUUAAGUCUGAAAAGAAUGUCUAUAUGGGACUUUAUUCUGAGAUAAGGCAAUUUCAUUAUGACUGGAAAAAUACGAGAUUCCUAUGCAGUAGUAUUCAUGUUGGGCUUGUCUUGUCCUUCUUCUAUCAGACGGCACAUUUGAACUGAAAGUCUUGUUUCCCCAUCCCUAUACCCAGCAGUUAGGAGGUCAGAUUGCUGCCCUGGUCAGUCAUAGGCUUGUUAUAGAAAAGCAUCCUAGAAUUGGGAUGGUCUGAGAAGAGCAUCUGAGAUGAGUCCUCUCCUUCAACCCUGGAUGACCCUAAUGUCCAGAGAGGGUAAGCCUGAGGUCACCAGCUGGUGAAUGGCAAAGAUGGAACUAAAACCAAGAACUCUAGACUUCCCGCCCAUGCUUGAAGAACAGCAGUCAAUCCAGGUGUCUUGAGUGUGUGGUACGUUGAGAGCCUGAGGCUGGGUCACUAGCGUGAGCUUGAUCACCAAGUGAGAGAGUUUAGGUUUUCAUCUUUCAGACCAGUGGUUUUCAAACUUUGUUGACCACUCUUGACAGUAAGAAUUCUAUUUUUCAUCCUGAUUAAGUACACACACAUAUAUACCAAAAGCGAAAGUCUCACAAUGCAAUACUUAAUUCCUUUCUCCAUGCAAAGCACCCUAAUGUGUUCUGUUCUAUUAUUUUUAUUUAAUUUAUUUAGAUGCUAGUUAUACCUGCUAAAUUGCUCUCAUGUCUCACUAAUGGGUAUCAACUGGCAGUUUGAACAAAGACUUCUUUAGGCCAUGAGCUUCCCCGAAGGUGUUAAAGUGGGUCAAGACCCAAUCAAAGUGCAAGGGUAAGUCUGGCAAAUGUGUGUGACCUGAUAUGAAUUUAAUCAGCAAGCAGUUCGCAAAUGGAGACAGGCAUUGGCCAAGGCCUGAAGCUCAGCCUGCUCCGUCUGUAGCCAGCAUGGAAGCUCAGGUCUCUGGAUUUUCCAUUCUUUCUCAGGGACUGGUUCAGCUUUCCAGAUCUGUGUGUUUUCUUUCACAGACUCGUGCCUCUUUGCAAUGUUAUCCUUUCUCUGCUGAGUCUCCAACUCCAGUGCUCAGCUGUUUUCGCAUCUUCCCUUCCAGGCUGAGGACACGAAAAUGGCACUUCCCACGGGGCUCUCGGCUACAGAAAAAGCUGACGCCCAUGAGGAAGAUGAGCUUCGAGCUGCUGUAGAGCAGCGCAUCCAGUCACUGAUGACCAAGAUGACCGCCAUGGCAAAUGAAGAGACCCGUCUCACUGCAAACUCCGUGGGCCAGAUCGUGGGACUCUGCUCUGCCAAGAUCAAGCAGAUCGUGUCUGAGUACACGGAGAGGUUUCGGCAGUGCACAAGGAAACCAAGCAGUUCUUCACUUUAUAUAACACCCUGGACGAUAAAAAGGUCUAUUUGGAAAAAGAGGUAAGAGCCUUUAUAGAAAGAAAACAAUCCGACGUGCGGCUGCCAGUGCUGUUGACCCCGGGAAGCUCAGAUGAGCUUGGUGUCUGGGACGCGUUCCAUUUAAGUGGAAGGAGCGCCCGCUGUGUGCCCGCUGCUGGGAUACAGAGUCAGAGCGCAGGGUGCCCGGGAGCUCACACUACACGGGCUGAAGGGAGACUGGCGGACAGCGGUUUGAUGCUGCGAGGGAGAAAUGCCGCCAUGAAAAGAAACAGUGGAGGCUGGAGCGCUGCCUGUGGAGGGGGCCCUGGAGUUGGGGAAACUUUACUUUGAGUUUUAAAGAAAGGGAGGAACCAGCUAGAUGAAAUGGGAUUGUGGGCCGUUAGAGUUUACGUGGGGAAAAUAGCUGUUUUAUCCUCUGUCAGUGGCAGACAGAGGCAUGAAUUAAAAAGACUGUAAAAUUCAAAGCAGGGCUGAAAGGGGUUCUUGUGGGCACUGACAGCCCCUCCAUAUUGCUCUGACUCAGUCAGCUUAAGUCCAUUCAUGAUUCAGGUCUCCCUCAGGUUGGACCACAAAUGAUGGGGCAGGGUGUGCAGUUGAUUUCAAGUAAAGAAUAGUCCUGU